UUCCCUUCUAUUAGCACGGGUGAUGCCA
RNAcentral lists this non-coding RNA (28 nucleotides) under Bombyx mori (domestic silkworm). Lineage: Eukaryota; Metazoa; Arthropoda; Insecta; Lepidoptera; Bombycidae. The record is from RNAcentral.